Molecule: long non-coding RNA, 246 nt
Organism: Alligator sinensis (Chinese alligator)
Lineage: Eukaryota; Metazoa; Chordata; Crocodylia; Alligatoridae
Exons: 2
Source: RefSeq, a predicted model, not a curated record
CUAGCUUCCUGUAUGACUCUGGGGAAAUCAGUUUGUCUCUCUGCUUCCAUUGCCUCAUCUCUAAAAUUCACCUUCAAGAUCUCUGUGCAAAGUUGAGGUGAUGGAGAAGAAGACAGUGGUGCUUUCAGAAAGCAGCUGUCCCAGCAACACCUCACCCAGCAGCAUGUGCAUGUCCUUUGAUACCUGAGACCUUCCUUAGUAGCAAGGAAGUCCAUCUCUGGUGGCAAAAUAUAACUCAUUCUUUUG